RNAcentral lists this ribosomal RNA (1489 nucleotides) under Salmonella enterica subsp. enterica serovar Tennessee. Its description in RNAcentral is "partial 23S ribosomal RNA". It matches the Rfam family "Bacterial large subunit ribosomal RNA", at positions 1213 to 2684 of the family's 2925-position model. The record is from RNAcentral. Lineage: Bacteria; Pseudomonadati; Pseudomonadota; Gammaproteobacteria; Enterobacterales; Enterobacteriaceae.
ACUGUGUGUUGUUGGGUAGGGGAGCGUUCUGUAAGCCUGUGAAGGUGUGUCGUGAGGCAUGCUGGAGGUAUCAGAAGUGCGAAUGCUGACAUAAGUAACGAUAAAGCGGGUGAAAAGCCCGCUCGCCGGAAGACCAAGGGUUCCUGUCCAACGUUAAUCGGGGCAGGGUGAGUCGACCCCUAAGGCGAGGCCGAAAGGCGUAGUCGAUGGGAAACGGGUUAAUAUUCCCGUACUUGGUGUUACUGCGAAGGGGGGACGGAGAAGGCUAUGUUGGCCGGGCGACGGUUGUCCCGGUUUAAGCGUGUAGGUGUGUGUUCCAGGUAAAUCCGGUUCACUUUAACACUGAGGCGUGACGACGAGGCACUACGGUGCUGAAGCAACAAAUGCCCUGCUUCCAGGAAAAGCCUCUAAGCAUCAGGUAACAUCAAAUCGUACCCCAAACCGACACAGGUGGUCAGGUAGAGAAUACCAAGGCGCUUGAGAGAACUCGGGUGAAGGAACUAGGCAAAAUGGUGCCGUAACUUCGGGAGAAGGCACGCUGACAUGUAGGUGAAGUGAUUUACUCAUGGAGCUGAAGUCAGUCGAAGAUACCAGCUGGCUGCAACUGUUUAUUAAAAACACAGCACUGUGCAAACACGAAAGUGGACGUAUACGGUGUGACGCCUGCCCGGUGCCGGAAGGUUAAUUGAUGGGGUCAGCGCAAGCGAAGCUCCUGAUCGAAGCCCCGGUAAACGGCGGCCGUAACUAUAACGGUCCUAAGGUAGCGAAAUUCCUUGUCGGGUAAGUUCCGACCUGCACGAAUGGCGUAAUGAUGGCCAGGCUGUCUCCACCCGAGACUCAGUGAAAUUGAACUCGCUGUGAAGAUGCAGUGUACCCGCGGCAAGACGGAAAGACCCCGUGAACCUUUACUAUAGCUUGACACUGAACAUUGAGCCUUGAUGUGUAGGAUAGGUGGGAGGCUUUGAAGUGUGGACGCCAGUCUGCAUGGAGCCGACCUUGAAAUACCACCCUUUAAUGUUUGAUGUUCUAACGUGGACCCGUUAUCCGGGUUGCGGACAGUGUCUGGUGGGUAGUUUGACUGGGGCGGUCUCCUCCUAAAGAGUAACGGAGGAGCACGAAGGUUGGCUAAUCCUGGUCGGACAUCAGGAGGUUAGUGCAAUGGCAUAAGCCAGCUUGACUGCGAGCGUGACGGCGCGAGCAGGUGCGAAAGCAGGUCAUAGUGAUCCGGUGGUUCUGAAUGGAAGGGCCAUCGCUCAACGGAUAAAAGGUACUCCGGGGAUAACAGGCUGAUACCGCCCAAGAGUUCAUAUCGACGGCGGUGUUUGGCACCUCGAUGUCGGCUCAUCACAUCCUGGGGCUGAAGUAGGUCCCAAGGGUAUGGCUGUUCGCCAUUUAAAGUGGUACGCGAGCUGGGUUUAGAACGUCGUGAGACAGUUCGGUCCCUAUCUGCCGUGGGCGCUGGAGAACUGAGGGGGGCUGCUCCUAGUAC